AUGAUGUUUGUUUAAUCGACCUGCACGAGGUCAUUAAGGUUGCCGUUUUUCCAAAACAGGAUGGCAACCAUUUCAAGUUUGCCAGUCAUCUCUUAGCCACUCUGAAAAAGUGCUUGGACGACCUUAAAUCUCCAGACCAACUAUUAUUCAGCAUGACCAGCUAUAACCUCGAAGUGGAGUGUAGCUGCUGUUUUGGUAAAGAAGAAAGGAAAUGUUCUCGUCAUCAUGAGAUCCAGUGUCAUUCAGACCGUUGUGGGCACCGCCACUUCUGGAAGCUACGUGACCUUCAAAGAUUCUACAACGAUAAAUCCCCUGCAGUUUGUCGGUUGGACAAACGCUCGUCCAAGGUGUUUGACAUAAAGAAUGUAAAAAUUUGGCUCAAUACUG
Molecule: non-coding RNA, 387 nt
Organism: Paramuricea clavata
Lineage: Eukaryota; Metazoa; Cnidaria; Anthozoa; Malacalcyonacea; Plexauridae
Source: the annotation of a GenBank genome assembly